ACCUGGCUGGCUCAGUUGGUAGAGCACAGGACUCUUGAUCUCCAGUUGUGAGUUCGAGCCCCACAUUGGGUG
RNAcentral lists this transfer RNA (72 nucleotides) under Felis catus (domestic cat). It matches the Rfam family "tRNA". From Rfam's summary of the family: Transfer RNA (tRNA) molecules are approximately 80 nucleotides in length. Their secondary structure includes four short double-helical elements and three loops (D, anti-codon, and T loops). Further hydrogen bonds mediate the characteristic L-shaped molecular structure. tRNAs have two regions of fundamental functional importance: the anti-codon, which is responsible for specific mRNA codon recognition, and the 3' end, to which the tRNAs corresponding amino acid is attached (by aminoacyl-tRNA synthetases). tRNAs cope with the degeneracy of the genetic code in two manners: having more than one tRNA (with a specific anti-codon) for a particular amino acid; and 'wobble' base-pairing, i.e. permitting non-standard base-pairing at the 3rd anti-codon position. Lineage: Eukaryota; Metazoa; Chordata; Mammalia; Carnivora; Felidae. The record is from Rfam by way of RNAcentral. RNAcentral also lists the same sequence under 2 other names.